Thalassophryne amazonica is the source of this 397-nucleotide long non-coding RNA. RefSeq lists it as uncharacterized. The transcript has 3 exons. The record is from RefSeq and is a predicted model, not a curated record. Lineage: Eukaryota; Metazoa; Chordata; Actinopteri; Batrachoidiformes; Batrachoididae.
AUCAGCGACACUACGCAAAUGUGCAGAAAACUCAGACGAAGGCACAGAUAAUCAUCUUUUUAUUAAAGCAUGGAGCUCGCAGUACAGAUAUCAAUAGCACAUCUUUGACCAAAGAACAGCAAAAGAGAAUUAGAACAGCAAAGUUUCUCCUUAAGUACAUCCAACCCAGAACUUUAACACCUGAUUCAUUCCAAAUCCAAGAGGAAAGACACAAGAAAAACAAUCACUCAACUUCAGAGAAGAUUUUACAUUAAAAACACCAACAGGGGAGGUAUUGGUCCACAAAAAAAAUAAAAUUAUUUAACUGUAAGACGGGUUAAAAAUAAACUCACAGCAAUGAGGCUAAAAUGCAUUUAAUCAGCGUUAAUGAAGCUGCUUCAGUCAUUUUUGCCGAGUU